GGAAGCGCCGGGCUGUGUCGGAAGAUGAGCUUAGAAGGAUUGCUGCUGAGGUAUGUGACACCAUACUUGGACACACCAAGGAACGCUUUGCCUUCAAAGACCACCUCAUCAGUGCCACCUUACUGCAGGGCAACCAGUUUGAAUGCUACCUCAAGGUAUUCCCUGAAGUUGCUUUGGCCACCACAUUGAAGGCCUAUCCAAUUCUGGAUGGAGGCAAGCUGAAGACAGAGCUUGGCCUCAUCUAUGGCACAGACGAAUUCAGAUCCUGCCGUAGUGCUGUGGAUCUUUUCCAGUUGUUCAUGGAAAACAAUCUAUCUGAGGUAUUUUCAGAGACAGUUACACUGCUGAAAAUCAUGAUCACAACUCCCAUGACCACUGCUGAGGCUGAGAGGUGUUUUUCAACUCUGAAAAGGAUUAAAACCUUCCUCAGGAACACCAUGAGUCAGGAGAGACUGAAUGCCUUAGCCAUGCUCUCAAUGGAAAAAAGGCUGGUCACAGACAUGAUUGACUUUAACCAGAGAGUUAUUGAGGAAUUUGCCAGCUUGAAAGAGAGGAGGGCUACAUUUCUUUACAAGUAGUGGGGCCUACUCUGGCACAUAAAUGUCAAAUGUGAUGAAUAUGUGUCUGAAUACUAAUCUAAACCUAGUUCCAAUGUUUGUAAUGAGCAGUGUGUUUCUGUUUAAUACAUCUUUGUUUUUCAAUAUA
Long non-coding RNA from Eleginops maclovinus (Patagonian blennie), 705 nucleotides. RefSeq lists it as uncharacterized. The record is from RefSeq and is a predicted model, not a curated record. The transcript has 2 exons. Lineage: Eukaryota; Metazoa; Chordata; Actinopteri; Perciformes; Eleginopidae.